GACGUAGGUGGCGAACGUUAUCCGGAAUUAUUGGGCGUAAAGGGUGCGUAGAUGGCCUGAUAAGUUAGCAGUGGUAAAUCGAGGCUCAACCUCGUGGAAACUGAUAAUACUGUCUGGCUCGAGUACAGAAGAGGUUAACGGAAUUCCAUGUGGAGCGGUAAAAUGCACAGAUAUAUGGAAGAACACCAAUAACGGCGAAGGCAGUUAACUAUUCUGUUACUGACAUUGAGGCACGAAAGCGUGGGGAGCAAAACGG
Molecule: ribosomal RNA, 256 nt
Filed under: uncultured bacterium
Lineage: Bacteria
Description: partial 16S ribosomal RNA
Rfam family: Bacterial small subunit ribosomal RNA
Source: RNAcentral